GACGAACGCUGGCGGCGUGCUUAACACAUGCAAGUCGAGCGGAAAGGCCCUUCGGGGUACUCGAGCGGCGAACGGGUGAGUAACACGUGGGCAACCUGCCCUCAGCUCUGGGAUAACUCCGGGAAACCGGGGCUAAUACCGGAUACGACCUUCACCGGCAUCGGUGGUGGUGGAAAGUUCUUCGGCUGAGGAUGGGCCCGCGGCCUAUCAGCUUGUUGGUGGGGUGAUGGCCUACCAAGGCGACGAUCUGUAGCGGGUCUGAGAGGAUGAUCCGCCACACUGGGACUGAGACACGGCCCAGACUCCUACGGGAGGCAGCAGUGGGGAAUAUUGGACAAUGGGGGCAACCCUGAUCCAGCCAUGCCGCGUGUGUGAAGAAGGCCUUAUGGUUGUAAAGCACUUUAAGCGAGGAGGAGGCUCCUAUAGAUAAUACCUAUAGUGAGUGGACGUUACUCGCAG
Molecule: ribosomal RNA, 459 nt
Filed under: uncultured bacterium
Lineage: Bacteria
Description: bacterial SSU rRNA
Rfam family: Bacterial small subunit ribosomal RNA
Source: RNAcentral